Molecule: ribosomal RNA, 230 nt
Filed under: uncultured bacterium
Lineage: Bacteria
Description: partial 16S ribosomal RNA
Rfam family: Bacterial small subunit ribosomal RNA
Source: RNAcentral
AAAGCGCGCGUAGGUGGUUUGUUAAGUUGGAUGUGAAAUCCCCGGGCUCAACCUGGGAACUGCAUCCAAAACUGGCAAGCUAGAGUAUGGUAGAGGGUGGUGGAAUUUCCUGUGUAGCGGUGAAAUGCGUAGAUAUAGGAAGGAACACCAGUGGCGAAGGCGACCACCUGGACUGAUACUGACACUGAGGUGCGAAAGCGUGGGGAGCAAACAGGAUUAGAUACCCCUGU